Molecule: ribosomal RNA, 231 nt
Filed under: Triticum aestivum (bread wheat)
Lineage: Eukaryota; Viridiplantae; Streptophyta; Magnoliopsida; Poales; Poaceae
Description: partial small subunit ribosomal RNA
Source: RNAcentral
AUGAUCACCUCCCAGCGAGACCGAGCGCGCUUCACCGCCGUUUGGAGGGAAAAGGAGUUAAGAGAAAAAGAGAAGGCUCAGCACCUCUAUUUGCAUGUCAAAUCUGAAGUAGAGAGCUAUCUGAAGGAGAAGAGAGAGAAGGAUCCCUACAGGAGUACACUGACCGGUCUUCUAUAUCAGGCAGGAAAUGGUUCUGAUGCAGAAAUACCCACAUUUGAACCCGCAAGCUGA